UUAAGCUAAUAAGAGCGCAGGGAGGAUGCCUUGGCAUCAGGAGCCGAUGAAGGACGCGGUAAGCUGCGAUAAGCUCCGGGGAGUGGCAAGCACACUUUGAUCCGGGGAUUUCCGAAUGGAGCAAUCCACAUGGGUGUCGCCCAUGUAUCAUACACUGAAUAAAUAGGUGUAUGAGGGGAACCGUCUGAACUGAAACAUCUAAGUAGGACGAGGAAAAGAAAUCAACCGAGAUUCCGCUAGUAGUGGCGAGCGAACGCGGAAGAGGCUAAACCAUGGUCAGCAAUGACCGUGGGGUUUGGACUGCAUUUAGUAUCAAUGAGAUCUAGUCGAAGUACAUGGGAAGGUACAUCGAAGAGGGUGAGAAUCCCGUAGACGAAAGGUCGAGUUGGCGAGCAGUAUCCAGAGUACCGCCGGACACGUGAAACCCGGUGGGAACAUGGGGGGACCAUCCUCCAAGCCUAAAUACUACCUGAUGACCGAUAGCGCAUAGUACUGUGAAGGAAAGGUGAAAAGAACCCCGGGAGGGGAGUGAAAGAGAGCCUGAAACCCUGUGCUUACAAGCACACAGAGCACGUCAAUGUGUGAUGUGGUACCUAUUGUAGAAUGGUCCGGCGAGUUAUUUUAUGCAGCGAGGUUAAGAACCUAAGGUUCGGAGCCGAAGUGAAAGCGAGUGUUAAUAGCACGACACAGUUGCAUGUAAUAGACCCGAAACCGGGUGACCUAUCCAUGUCCAGGCUGAAGUGAGGGUAAAACCUCAUGGAGGGCCGAACCGACUCCCGUUGAAAUGGUAGCGGAUGAGGUGUGGAUAGCGGAGAAAUUCCAAUCGAACCCGGAUAUAGCUGGUUCUCCCCGAAACCGUUUUAGGACGGGCCUCGUGUGAAGAUUAUCGGAGGUAAAGCACUGAAUAGCCUAGGGGGCGAGAGCCUACCGAAGCUUAUCAAACUCUGAAUGCCGAAUAAUCGUUUCACGGGAGUCAGACUGUGUGAGAUAAGUUUCAUAGUCAAAAGGGAAACAGCCCAGACCCACAGCUAAGGUCCCAAAGUGUAUUUAAGUGGAAAACGAUGUGAAGUUGCGUAGACAACCAGGAUGUUGGCUUAGAAGCAGCCACUCAUUAAAAGAGUGCGUAAUAGCUCACUGGUCGAGUGACUUUGCGCGGAAAAUUUAACGGGGCUAAAAUACACACCGAAGCUUGGGCUUGACGCAAUGCGUCAGGGGUAGGGGAGCGUCGUGUAAGGGGCGAAGUCGUAUCGUAAGGGACGGUGGACUUUACACGAGUGAGAAUGCCGGAAUGAGUAGCGAGAAUUAUGUGAGAAUCAUAAUGGUCGAAAGCCUAAGGUUUUUGGAGGAAGGUUCGUCCGCUCCAAGUUAGCCGGGAGCUAAGGUCAGGCGGAAACGCGUAGCCGAUGCACAUACGGUUGAAAUUCCGUAGCCUCAGAAAGAUUUAAGCAGAGGGACACUUUGAAAGGACUGUAGCCGGGUGUUGGUUACCCCGGUCGUAAGGGAACGAAAUUAAGUAGUGAAGGCAGUCUGGACGGAGGCGAGAAAAGCUCUGUGUAUAUCUGAUGAGCCCGUACCGCAAACCGACACAGGUAGGUGGGAUGAGAAUUCUAAGACCAACGGGAGAAGGGUAGUUAAGGAACUCGGCAAAUUGUCCCCGUAACUUCGGAAUAAGGGGAGCCUGCUAACGCAGGCCGCAGAGAAUUGGCCCAGGCGACUGUUUAUCAAAAACACAGCUCUAUGCUAAAUCGAAAGAUGACGUAUAUGGGGUGACACCUGCCCGGUGCUGGAAGGUUAAGAGGAGAUGUGAGAGCAUCGAAUUGAAGCCCCAGUAAACGGCGGCCGUAACUAUAACGGUCCUAAGGUAGCGAAAUUCCUUGUCAGGUAAGUUCUGACCCGC
This 1897-nucleotide ribosomal RNA is filed under the name human gut metagenome. RNAcentral describes it as "bacterial LSU rRNA". It matches the Rfam family "Bacterial large subunit ribosomal RNA", at positions 3 to 1991 of the family's 2925-position model. The record is from RNAcentral.